Molecule: ribosomal RNA, 253 nt
Filed under: uncultured bacterium
Lineage: Bacteria
Description: partial 16S ribosomal RNA
Rfam family: Bacterial small subunit ribosomal RNA
Source: RNAcentral
UACGGGGGGGGCAAGCGUUGUUCGGAAUUACUGGGCGUAAAGGGCUCGUAGGCGGCCAACUAAGUCACACGUGAAAUCCCUCGGCUCAACCGGGGAACUGCGUGUGAGACUGGAUGGCUUGAAUCCGAGAGAGGGAUGCGGAAUUCCAGGUGUAGCGGUGAAAUGCGUAGAUAUCUGGAGGAACACCGGUGGCGAAGGCGGCAUCCUGGAUUGGUAUUGACGCUGAGGAGCGAAAGCCAGGGGAGCAAACGGG